Non-coding RNA from Equus caballus (horse), 3826 nucleotides. The record is from RefSeq and is a predicted model, not a curated record. Lineage: Eukaryota; Metazoa; Chordata; Mammalia; Perissodactyla; Equidae.
ACAGUCAUCUGGAGUAAAGGAAGCUUGGAAGUUGGACACCCAUGAUGUCUUAGAGAGUUAGAAGGGGGCUGGGGUCAGCCAAAUAUCUGAGUACCAUGAAGAGACCAGGUACAGGAUUGGUGCACCUGCCUUGAAAAGUCAGUUGCAAUGAAACGCUUUUGAACGGAGAAGCAUCUGGAAGUUCAGGAUAUCAGAGAAACUGCCUGCUGUUCUGGAAGAGAUCAAGAACGCCUGAGGAAAGAGAACUUACAAAUGACCAAAUGACUGUUCUGUGGAGGCUCAGGGUCGCCGCAGUUUUCCUGAGGUAACCGUGCCAUGCAUUUACUGUUUGCCUGAGUGAUGGCUGCUGCCUUUUGUGUUGGUUUAUUUUCUUUAUUCAUCGGUGAUGAUCUGGAAAGUGGAGAGCGGAACAAGAAAUCCUGUAACCCUAAGGAUUGCCUCAAAUGCAGCCCAGAAAAUUAUUGCCUGAUUGAGACUAGAAUUUCUAACUUUUAAGACUGUAUUGAAGUAAACAUGGAUAUCAAUUAAUUCUUUCCGGUUAGGGCCAGCAUAAUGAAACCCACAAUUAUGUAUCAAGGGGAAGAGGUUAUAGAUAAGAUUCGUUUUAUUCUGGUUUUGGAUCAUAUCAAGAUCAUGAGGCUAUUUUCUCAGAGGGAACUAAAAUGCUUUACCUGAGGAGUGACUCUUAGAGGGAAUGUGCUGGAACAAGAAGAGAAGCAAAAGAAAGUCACAGUGACUUGGGUGGGGGAUGUGAAGGUAUGGGAGCCAGGGGCACUUACUGGAAGCAGAAAAAUCUAAGCAGUUAACUGUCAGAGGCAACAUAACUGCUGGAUGGGAGUUGAAAGUGUUAAGAGAGGGACAGAACGGAGCAGGCAUAAGAGUUCCGGGGGCAUCUGCCAUGCUCAUGAAGAAGCCCUACCAUUUCCACUCCAGUUGGGAGCAGUGGUCUGACCAACAAGGUGCUGUGAUUUGGGUGAAUCUGUUAACACUAUGUCUGGGAAGGAAGAACGUUAGAACGAAAGAAGGAAACCUCUCUCUUCCCUGCCAUACCAGGCUUUCACCAAAGCCGAAGUCUGCAGGUGCUAGUCUCUAGCACGGUGCCUAAUAAUUGGUAAAUAUUCGAUAUCCUUGUGUGUACGUGUGUAUCUGUCUGUAUGUGUGUGUACUGAAACAUAAAAAUUCAUUUUCCAUUUAUUUCUUCUCAGCUAACCUCCCUACAAGAUGACUGCCAUGCUGUAUCUGCUGGAGGUAGUCUGAUCAAAAACACCAUAAUUGUGGAGAUGAUUCUUCUUUUUAUCUCAUGUAAUACCUAUACCUUUCCUCUACCCAAAUAUUAAAGGGAGCACUUGCCUACAAAUGUACAUGUUAUAUGCAGGUCCAAAUGGUAAAGAGUAUGAAGAUAAGUUAGAGGCAGGAUUUAAUGCACAGGAAGAGAGGUUCUUGGUGUCCUGAGGGGCAAUUCCCUCCUCCUUGUCUACUCGUCUGGGCUACACAUCUUCAGCCCCCCAAAAUGAGACCCAUGUGGAGAAGGAUGACAUCGAGCAAAGAGCAUAGGUGCAAAUUCCUUCUCCCUCCAACACAUCUUCAGCCACUCUCAGCUCGGAGGGUUAAACAGAGCCAGAAGACUUGCUUCGGUUGGCUGACACCACUGUCACCAUGCCCAUGUCAGUUCCUAGGAGGGGUGUAUAGGAAGGAGAAAAGAAGGUGGCUCUCAUCGCAAAACAGGUAAGGGCUUGAGGAUUAAGAGGACACUGAACUGGGCUCAGCAGACUCCAUGCUGCCAGUAGAGAUGAUACCGUGUCUUGAGUGGCCAAGGGAAAGUCACAGAUUGCUUUACUCUGGUUUCCUGGAAUACUGGAGUUUUCAUGUGAAUUACUAAGGAAAACACAGUUUUACCUAAGGAAGAAGCAUUUCACAAACUUAUCAAGGUCAUCUUGAAGCUGAAUCUUAGUACUUCGUAUCCUUCAUUAGUACCAAGAGUGCAAAAGGGGCAUGCUAAUAAGCAGAAGAUAUAAAAAUGGGCUGUAGAGAGGAGCACAUUAGAAUAUUUGACAAAGGAUUUCAGAAGACCCAAGGAUUAUAGGGGCCAGGGGCUGUGGAAAACAUGGCUGUGAUGUACAGAUGGGAUUCUGGAUAGGUAAAUUCCUUGGAUAAAUCCAGGUGUUGUAAGGGAUGCUAGGGUCAAUAUAGGGUAAAAAUGUUGCUCAGGAAUUCCAUGUGGUGCCCCUUGUUCCCCAGACAGACUCUCAGCAGGCCCAUUUCUUACAUAUAUUGUGGCUAUGGGGCAGGUUACUCUUGCUCCCUGGCUAGGUUAAAUGCUGAGUAAUUUUCAACAAAAAAAGAAGAUUGCAUAAAGGUCAAAUUUAAAGGGUAAAAUAUAAUAGAAAACCUUGCUACUUAGGCUAGGUGACGUAUUGUAUAUCUGCUCUCACCCACUGUUGCAGUCAUCUUACUAGAAGCUAAGCAUUGGCCAUCUGAAAUUUCACCUAAGAAUUUCUUUUAGGUUUGCGUCAAAUGAGCCUUUUCCCCAUUUGUUCUCUGGGUCAAGGCUUGAGAUAGCGGUUUCUGCUCUCAUUGCUGCACGGGCAUCAGGUGCUUAAAGAAACAAAGUACAGGAGAAGAAUUUAUCUAAUGGGGAAUUAGGAUAAUGAUGUUUGCGUACAGAUGCCCAGGAAUCACUCUCUCUCUAAAGGAACAGCAGGAAUAGUAGAAACUACUUGGAUGACCAAUGAUCAGACAGAGGAGAAAAACGGCCAGAGCAGACAGCAGGGAGAUGGGAAAGGGUGGGAGGCAGCAGUUCUGGCAGAGAGAAGGAGCAUAGACAUCUCUGGAGGAGAGGUAGGGAGAGCUGAGCUGUGACAGACUGAAGCAGAGGGUCAUGGCCAGGCCCCCACACGCUCUUGAUGGAAGGGCUGGGUCUAGCGCGCAGAGAUGACAUGGGCUGGCCUUUGCUAGUAUCUUGGUAGGAGAAAAGCAAGAGAGCACUUCUGUCCAAAUGGUAUUCCUAUGGAUGAGCAAGUGAAAGUACAAAAUGUGUCUUCUCUCUCCUCAGAUAAUGCACGCAUAGGAAAUUAAAUGGUAGUGAAUGAAUAAUGAUACAGCCCAGAAGAGAAAGUUGUAGAGAAGCGAAGAGAGGUCCAAGUGCUAAGCCAGCCAUAGAGGAGAUGCCCACCGGUGCUGGACAAUUUAUUUUGGAAAUGGGGCUGAGAAUGGGAAUCUGAUCAUCCAGCAAAAAAUCCUAAUCUGUAAAGAGGCUCUCUCAUCUUAGCCAAAUCGAACUUUCUCUCUGGAAAUCAUAAGGGUUCAGAAGAGCAGAACACAAGCUCAGUGUUCAGCUCAAGAGCAGAACAAGAGCUGUGGAACCAGACACACUUGAACGAAAAUUCAAAUGCUUUUACUUACUAAUUAUUAGAUCUUGUGUGAUUUUCUCGUUUCCCCGUACCUCAGUGUUUUCAUUUAUAAAAUGGAAAUAAUAGAUACACGCACUUGUUGUAAAGUUUGUUACAUAUGUACCUAAAACACUUGGCACGGUGUAUUGCAUAUAGUGCAUUUCCAAAGUGGUAGUUACUGUUUUAUUAUUAGUCCUAAUGUGCUCUUCUGAGUAUUGUUUCCAGAAACGGUGGUUAUAUGCCACAAUUCUUUGAUAAUGUAAGGCGAGUUUUGAGGUGGCAAAAGGGGAUGGUGAGAUAUCCAGGAAUCAUGUCAGAUGACAAAACCUGAAGAACCUGGUAAUGAGAGCCUUAAAGAAAUAGAGACUGGGGGCCGGCCCGGUGGCAUAGUUGUCAAGUGUGCUUGUUCCGCUUCUUGGUAGCCCGGGGUUCACCGA